Molecule: ribosomal RNA, 463 nt
Filed under: uncultured Sphingobacteriales bacterium
Lineage: Bacteria; Pseudomonadati; Bacteroidota; Sphingobacteriia; Sphingobacteriales
Description: bacterial SSU rRNA
Rfam family: Bacterial small subunit ribosomal RNA
Source: RNAcentral
CCCGCACAAGCGGAGGAGCAUGUGGUUUUAAUUCGAUGAUACGCGAGGAACCUUACCUAGGCUCGAACGUAAGAUGACUGUAGGUGAAAGCUUACAUCUCUUCGGAGCAUUUUACGAGGUGCUGCAUGGUUGUCGUCAGCUCGUGCCGUGAGGUGUCGGGUUAAGUCCCAUAACGAGCGCAACCCCUACCUUUAGUUGCCAUCAGGUUAAGCUGGGGACUCUAAAGGAACUGCCUACGCAAGUAGUGAGGAAGGCGGGGAUGACGUCAAAUCAGCACGGCCCUUACGUCCAGGGCUACACACGUGCUACAAUGGUCGGUACAAAGGGUUGCCAAGCCGCGAGGUGGAGCUAAUCCCAUAAAACCGAUCGUAGUCCGGAUCGCAGUCUGCAACUCGACUGCGUGAAGUCGGAAUCGCUAGUAAUCGUGAAUCAGAAUGUCACGGUGAAUACGUUCCCGGGCCUU